UAUGAAACUAAUGAUUGAUUACAGAAAUAAAGAAACAUAGCUAUGCAUGAUGCAUGUAUAUUCAAAUAUAAUAUGUAAUAUUUAGUUGGGUUUUUCACAGGGGAAAACAAGCUUCGCCCGUACCGAGCUGUCUGUCAAUGAAAAGUGAUAAUUCAAUGAACCCUCCACUGAAAUUUCAAAGUGAAACAUCACAAUUGCACAGGACGAUAAAACAGGAGAGAUCCCACACAUCAGCACCCAGCUGUGCGUCUCUCAAAAGUAACUGGUCUCUGGACCUACCAGACUCUUUUAACAAAUCUUCUGGGCACAGGUAAGAGUUCUGAAGCACAUUUACCAAGAUCCCACACAUCAGCACCCAGCUGUGCGUCUCUCAAAAGUAACUGGUCUCUGGACCUACCAGACUCUUUUAACAAAUCUUCUGGGCACAGGUAAGAGUUCUGAAGCACAUUUACCAGUUAUGUUUUGGAGGCAUGGUUUCCCAAAGGUGUAAUUUUUACUAUGUUGGAAGAGAGUGCUGUCUAACAUGUCAUUCCAAUAUCUGACUCUGAACGCUAUAGCGUAGACUUAACAUCAAUUUACAUCAUACUCGUCAAAUCCUUCAAUGAGCACUCAUGUCCAUAAUACCUGUGUCUAGCUAUUAUGAGCCUUUGCAUUGAUUCUACAAGUCUCUGGAACUGUACUACAGGGACAGAAUACUGUUCUUCUAAAAAGAUAUUCCCUGAGGUGUUGUUUUGAUGAUGG
Molecule: long non-coding RNA, 741 nt
Organism: Ictalurus punctatus (channel catfish)
Lineage: Eukaryota; Metazoa; Chordata; Actinopteri; Siluriformes; Ictaluridae
Source: Ensembl